ACCUGCUCAUCUUCUCAACGAGUCUAUGACGCGUGGGUUCAGCAAUAUGCGGGGCCCAACGGUCAGAGGCAGCUACGGGUGUUAAUUCGCGUCGCCUUUGAGUCUACAGCGGCUGAACGGUGAAACCCUAGAUCGGGGACACACCCAAUCCACUCCCCCCAAUCCCCGCUCCUCCUCUCCUCCCCAACCCACGUCUCUUCUCCUCCCCAAUCGCCGGCCGACCUCUCUCUCCCGCUGCAGCCACGCGUGAGGCCGGAAAGGCCACUCCCCAGGCGCUGGAGAAGCGUGAGAGGGCACUCUCCCAGCCGCAGAAGGCGUUGGAUUGGAUGGAGGCGACUGGAGGCGCCGGGCGCGGCCGGGGAUAGGCCGGCGCAGGGUGGAUCCGCUCCGGCGACGACCGGAGGCGACGGGCUCGCGCGGGGCGGAUCCACGGCGGUGGCGACUGCAGGCGCGGCUCGUCUACGUCGCGGCCUCAUCCUCUCCUCUUCGGAUGUCGGCGCGGGGAGGCGGCCGUACCGGCGUUCUGGCGAGGAAGGAGCGCUAAGGUGCUCCCCGACCGAGUGAGCUCCCGUAACCAGCAAUGGCUCCCUCCACCGGAUCCCUACCCCCGCUCCGCCGUUCCGCCCCUGAGCGCGACGCCGCGGCUAACCCUAGCCAUGGGGUUCGGCAGGGUCGCCGCCGCAAUUACCGCGCCGCCGCCGCUCAUCCAUGUGCUCACCCCGGUCCUGGCUGUGCCCACACAACCUCCAGUGGGGAACUACCUCCCGAUCGACCAAGUGCGCCCCGAAAUCGCAGAGGCUUACGUCCAGGAAGUGUGGGUCAAGGCGCAGAAAAUGCUUGCCGGCUGCAAGGAAACCUGUGACGAAAACAAAGUUGAUGCUCAAGUUGUGCUUGUUAACGGGAACGAUGUCGCGGAUACCAUUUCCAGUCUUGUUGCUCAGCACCAGAUACAGAUCCUCGUCGUCGGUGCCAGCAGGGGCUUCUUCAGCAGGACGUCCUCCAAGAUCUGCAAGGGUGUCCCCAGCUUAUUGAACUCCAAUUAUUGAACUCUGAUUUUCAUAUGUUGUUCAACCUUUACUCUACCCACUACAGUUUUAAUGUGUCCUCAACAUUCAUUUAGGCCUCUUUCCUGUCUCACCAUUUCAAAUGAUGACAGAAACUCAGCGUAUAUUGGAUAUUUAAAAAAUUGUGUACAGUAGCACUAGAGCUUGAUUUUACCCAGAUUAGUAUGUCAUAAUAUAAUUUAUCGGGCUUCUUCUUGGGCUAUGUACGGUUGCUCUGGUUAACCAGAAGUCUAAAAGUGAAGUAUAACCUAAUGGAACUACAACAAAUGAACUUUGGUAAAUACCUUGCCACUACAUUUUUCUAUUAGUGUGUUUAUUAUAGUAGGGCCGUCUUUUCCAGCUGGUUUUUUAAUUCAUGCACCAAGCUAAUCACUAUUUGUUUCAUUGGAACUUGCAGGUUCUACAUUUUCCCGCAAAGUGAUCCCACACGACAUAAUUGCCAAGCUAGGCCUCACUAUUUAUUCAGAAGGAUUACAUGAUAUGCCUAUUUAAUCACCGUAAUAGAUUUUUCCUAUGAAAAUUUGUGUCCCCAUCCAUGAAAGACAGAGGAGAUUUCUGCUUUACAGUAGGUUGACAGUAUAGUUGACAAGCUGACAAACAUUUGAUGUCCUGGAAGUUGCAGACUAGAGAUGAUUCCUUUUUAUGCUUGUUUUUGUCUACUUGUACUGGAGAUAGAGAAUUGGGCCAUAGUAUCUUUCCUGUGAAAUGAAAUGCUUAUGCCAUGAAAAAUUAAACUCAAAAUCAUUUGAUGUUUGUUGGUUAACAUGCAUUUGAUUCCUUCUUCCUUUUUCAUCUAAUCCCACCAUACCACCUUUUCUUCUUCUUAGGGUUCUCUUGAAUCCGUUUCAAUUGGUGAAAUAAAACUAAGUUUCCACAUGAGUGUUGUUUGCUUGUUUUUAAUUUCUGUACUUCUAGGCAGUACGAAUUUUAAGUUUAAAAUUUUCUCGUGAAACUAAAAAUUGGUAAAUUUUGGAUCCAUUCUCGUGCGUUCGAUUGGUUUUUGAUGGCUGUUAUUGAAACAUCGGUUAAUUGGUUCUAUGCCACUCCUCAAUUCACAAGUUGUGUUUAUGCCAUUACAAAAAUUGAAGUUGUGUUUAUGCCACUCUCAAUUCUCACAAAACAAUUUGGUGGUUAGCUUCCAUAUUUUUUCCCAAAUAAUCAAUUUAACAUCUUUCAUCUGAUUAUACUAUCUUUUCUGCUUUCUUGGUGUGUGUAUUGUUAGAAAUAAUAACUUGCUUACAUACUUGCACUAACUUUGGACAUGAUUAUACUAUCGCAUAACUUGUUGACUCUAGAGCUUUCUCUGUAAAUUAGUUACGUAUUUGACUGGCCUAACAAUUCUUGGAUAUUCUUUGGACAUGGGAAGGAGUAUAUUAAUUUGGCCGAUGAGCAUUUAUAGAAGUUGAUAUACAGUGGCCAGCUUGAUCAGAAGGAACUGGACAGUAUGCAAAAAAAAUCAUUCCUGCUGUCAGAGCUUGCACGAAAGCGAGGCCACAAAUGCAGUUCUUCUGUAAGACUCAUUGCGAGUGAUGCAAGCACACAUGGAGGCUCCUCUGUGCCUUGCCGUGCUGCGGAGAAGAUAUCCCUGCCCUGGACAAUGGCAUGCUACUUUCUCUGUUUAUGUACUCCACGCGGGAUUAAAGUGCAGAGGAUGAUUUCCCUUGAAUAACAGACGACACGAUGCAGUACUAUGUAGAAAUUAUGCUUAUUGUUGCAGAUAAAUUAUUUCCUAUCCUCUUUGUAGUAAAAAUGAAGCAGAGCAAGGGAAUCAUAAGGGAGGCAAUGGGGAUGGGAAGGUUUGAUGGAUAAUCACCAUUUCUUAACCAUAUUUGGACCUUCCAAGAAAAUUAUGGAGUGACAAGCCACGUGGAAGACACGGAGACGUCGAGGAGAUACCCUCCCUGGAGUAACAAGUUGUACUGUUGCAUCCUCUGGCUCGGAGGAGGUGUUCCGAUGCCCUGUGGCAUACUUCACCGAGAGGGCAAGCCAUCAACAUGAGUUUCAGGAAGAAACGGUGCAAGUGAGCUUUAAUAAUUGCGAGAAGACGGAGCCGGUACGGACGACCACGGUGGUGGGCGACAGUAGGCGUUGAUGAGCUCGUCCCGGAAGAGACCAGUGAGUUGCUGCUUCUAAAGAUAUGGGGAAAAGCAGCAGAUGAGAGCUUUGAGAUACUUGAUAGGUUCUGUUCUUCCUUUACCUGAAUAUACACCGCUCUAUCUAGGAUCUGGAUGGCACACCAGAAAACUAAGUUGUAGAUCAAAUGAGAUUAUCAUAUGAACUUGCUCUAUAUUCCAAGGUGGUGGUGUCUUGAUUUCGCCUUCUCAUGGCCUCUGCCAUUGCGUUGGUAAGUCACUCUGGGAAGCUCUCUCUCUACAUCACAUGCGAUAUUUAGUUUGUCACGAAGCCCACUCCUGCAUUUGUGUUGCACUUCUAAUCAGUAUACCAAACUGCAGUCUUUUGACGUAUUUCUUGCCUCCAUAAUUUAGUGAUGAACUAAUUGCCUUAUGUAUGUUGAUCCCUCCCCUAAGGAACAAAUCUUGCAUGCAGCACCUCUUUGUGUCUACUUGCAAAAUGUAAUUUUUUUUCUCUGAGGAAAAUCAGUGUUGAAUGCUUUAAUUUUUCUAGGCUGAUUCAGCAUGAGCAUUCAUGAAGAACUAUUACUUGCCUGAUUGUGUUCUUAACGCUGGAAAAUUAGAGGCCAAAGCAACCAAGAGAUGAUGUACCAUUUCUUGUUCAGAAAAUGUGAGAGAUGCGAGCAAAGAUAGAAAAAGAAUGAGGCACACAUUCUUGUUCCAUUUAACUUGAAUCCGUGUUGUAAUCUGAAUUCAUGAUGUAUACAAAGCUACCUAAAUCGAAAUAGUCAAUUGCAGCCAACAUCCAUGGCAGCCAUAUGCAGCCAUGGUAGAUAAUUCCGCUAAUCCUAGAAAAAAUGUUUAUAUUGAGAAACGAGCAUGGUAGAUAAUUCCGCUAAUCCUAGAAAAAAAUGUUUAUGAGGUUAUACUACUGUUAAUCCAACAUCCAUGGCAGCCAUAUGCAGCCAUGGGAUUAGGUGGCCUACAAGCACCCUCUGUAUUUUUACCUCGACCAUGUCUCUGUUUCGCUGAAAGAGUGUUAAUGUUGUGGCAUCUUGCCAAAGUGUACUAAUUACUCAGUUGAUUUUGUUUUCCUCUUUGUAGGCCGCGCCACAAAAGAUUCGCUUUGAGGCACAAAGUUAUUUGCUAGCUUCGGUUUUAGUCUGUAGUUAUAUAUGCAAACUAAUGAUCAUUCAUAUGAAAUUUGUGUGGCGGGAACAUAUGAGAGGCUGCUGACACAAGGAUCAACUUGGUCCAUAUUUUAUUUAAAUGCAUUUGAUAUACUUGGCAUGCUAAUAACAAAAACUUUUUUCCUGUUGGAUUGAAAGCCCAGUUGGUAAAUAAGCUUCUGAGCAUUUUUUAUUGAUCUUGGUAUUUCUCUACUCUCAUUGGCUUACUGGAACUGAAUUGUGUGGGGGCAUUGUUCAUGCCUUGUGAAGUCUUCAGGUUCAUCAUAAAUCUGCAGGACAACUUCAAUGCUUUUGAUAAGCCAUUAACCUUCUCCUGUAUUUUCCACACUACGUAGUAAUCCAUGUCUUGGGAAAAUAUUUCAGGUGUUGCUUGAGGUAAGUAGAAUUUUUCUACUAAAGAAUUAUGGUAUCCUAUAUAGUAGGUAAACUUAUGGUAACUUUAGUAUGAUGGUUACAAUACUGGCUUGCUUUUGCCUUUGCGCUGGGGCGCUGCAUUCUAUUUUUGUGAAACAAUUACCAGAAGAAGAUUUAUCCCUAUAAAAUAAAGUAUGUUAUUACGACGGGUUCUGUGACUAUUUGAGUUAGUUUUACAUUGAAAGUUAUUUACCUUGGUGCAAAAUUUCGCAGCUGAUUUUUUUAUUCGAUGAGAAGUGACCAGUAGCAGAGGGACAUUUCUAAUGCCCGCUGCCAUUUGAUGAAACACAGCUAUAAAAUCUCUUUUCGCUAUUCCAAAGUUCAUCUUCAGGUACAUUAGAACUGCCUCAAUGGUGCUAAUAUCUGUUUAGUGGAAGUCUGUAGCAUUUUAUUUUGUUGACAUCCACUCAGAUAAGCAUACAUAAUCUAUUCAAAAGGAUACUGCUAUGUCCUAUGCAAUGGCCUAUUAUUUAGUGACCUGAAAAUUUUCAUGUUGCACAAGUGAAGUUAAAUGGAGGGGUAUGCUUAAGUAAAUAUUUUCAUCAGAGUUUACGUUGGUUUGUUUGUACCUAAGAUUUCGUGAAGUUGAGCAUGAAUGUGGCUGUAUUUGAGGCCUUGAAGGCCAUCGGGAUGUAGAUGCAGGAUAUUACAACAUCCUGGACAAAUCUCUCUUUGGGUAACAGUUCGUUGCAGCGUAUGAAGUGUACACGCAGAUAUCGCUGCAGGUCAACAAUAAGGAAGCGAAGGGUGGAUGAGGGACAGGGAGAAUGGAGACUGUUGCGACUCUGAGGAGAGGAUGUCGACGCCGUGAUGUGGCAGGCGAGGAUACCGCACGUGUUCUACAAGACGCUCAUUUUCUUCCAUGCCCUCGACACGGGUGCAUGAUUCCUCUUCCGGUGGCGACGCGGCCAAUAGCGACGGCCUUGACUUCCGCCUUCGUGGCUUCUUCACUACCACUUGCGCCAGCCAGGGUGGCCGUCGUUUAUGAGGAAGGCUGAUUGACAAGGGUGAGGUGGCGCGGCGGAGGUUCCUUGAAAGACGGUGAUGAUCUAGAGCAUCUAUCGGAGCUAUUUUUGCAUGUUAUUUCCAAAAGAGUCCAGUGAGGAAUGGACUAUUUUUGCUAUUAUAUAUUUGCCUUGUGCUGUGAAUGAGGAAAUGGAGUUAUUAGUCCAAGUAUCAUUUUUCAUCAGGUGUUCAUGGACAAUUGUUCACGCUCUUCUCAGAUUAUGGUCGUAUGAGCUCACACGGUUUCAGUUAUAGUGUCAUCAGACCGUGGCAGUAGGUAGUGUCAUGUUAAUGUGAGACUUUGAGAUAGAUCUAGGGAACUAAAUAAAUGUAGACUUUCACAGGAGAUGAAUAAAUUGUGGUUAGUGUAUAAGUGACAUAAUUUCGGCUAGAGAAAAAAGGGAACCUUCUUAUAUAUAUAAUACGCGUAACGAAUUAUUUUCCCCGCGAUGAUUCAAAAUUGAGCUAUGCAUCUUUCCAGUCCUUCUCACUGUUAUUCGUGCAUUCUAGAUGUAUUACUUCAGUAUUCAGGGUGAGGUUACUACUAACUAACCAAAGAAAGAGAGAUGGUUCUGUUCUAUUCAAGUUUUUUCUGCAUUCUAUUUUUGUGAAACAAUUACCGGAAGAAGAUUUAUCCCUAUAAAAUAAAGUAUGUUAUUACGACAGGUUUUGUGACUAUUUGAGUUAGUUUUACAUUGAAAGUUAUUUACCUUGGUGCAAAAUUUCGCAGCGGAUUUUUUUAUUCGAUGAAAAGUGACCAGUAGCAGAGGGACAUUUCUAAUGCCCACUGCCAUUUGAUGAAACACAGGUACUGGGUGUUCUGUUCACCCUUUGUUUCUCCAUAUAUUGUUUUAGCAUUUGCAUUUGAAUUGUUUUAGCAUCUAUUUGAGAUGAAAUAUCUUAGUUUUGUAUUUCAUAUUUCUUUGUCUAUAGAAUUACAUAUUAUAGUGGUUAGAACAUGACUUCUGUAUUUAGAUAUACAUGUUACUGUCAGUUUAUGCUGGGCUAAAGGGACACCUUCUCAAACCAUCCUCGUAAGUUGAUGGAUAUAGUUGUUUGUUUGCCUGCUUGAAGAUUUGCUUACCCCUUUCGGCAUGUUUGAUACAGAUGGUUACCAUCCAGGAUCGUCGGCAGACGUCGAGUAUAGAAGUGUUAUUUGGACUCACCAAAAAAGAUCUAUUCCUUCAACUAUUAUUGUAUGUAGCUCCAGCCUUUUGUUAACCGGUGAUGGAUCCAGAGGCAGAAGAGUUUGGGCCAUUCACAGUGAUGGAACGCUACAACACAGGUGUUAAUCUGGAAGUGGAUGAUUAGCGAAUUCCUGUAGAAUCAUUCCAGAAGGGUUUCAAUGUUUCAUUAUAAAUUUGAGAACAUUUUUAGAGAAUGCACACAUAAGUACCAUCAUUUGAGUUCUAUAAUGUACCUAUGGUAGUAGUAUCCUUAAGUAAUGUUUUGUACCCAUGAUAUUGCUGGUCUACUUUAUUUAUGUAUAAAUUAGUUCGUACUUGCUGCCACAACUAUUCACUGAGUAAGAAAAAUGGUUGAAUGUAUAUGUAUAAAAUCGACAUCUGUUUUGUUACUUUG
Non-coding RNA from Lolium perenne, 7326 nucleotides. Lineage: Eukaryota; Viridiplantae; Streptophyta; Magnoliopsida; Poales; Poaceae. The record is from RefSeq and is a predicted model, not a curated record.